GCUGCACGUUGCUGCCUUGCCGGAGUAGUGGGUCUAGCCAUGGGAUUGGCAGCUGGUUGAUUAGCUUAUGGCAUAGCGGCUCGCAGCACAUGGACAAAGUCCUCAAAAGGUUGGGUUGAGGAUCCGUAUUGCUCAUAACUGUACUGGUCUACAAGGCAGAAACAAGGAUUCAAUGGGCAGGUAUGCAGGGAGAUCGACAGGCAGGCAGAUGAGACCAGUGUUAAGUAGGUAACCUUGAAACCAGCCAAUGAGAGAUUAAACAGUGUGAGUAUUUGAAGGAAGAAGGUAAGUGGCGAAAGGUGAUGGUGAUUGUGAUUUGGUGAAUGAGGCUGGUUGGGCUGGUGAGGUAAGGGACUGCGUGUCACUUGUAUAAAUAUCUAUUACAAAUGAGAUUUAAAUGCUGUUAUGUUCUAAAGAAAA
Molecule: long non-coding RNA, 420 nt
Organism: Puntigrus tetrazona (Sumatra barb)
Lineage: Eukaryota; Metazoa; Chordata; Actinopteri; Cypriniformes; Cyprinidae
Exons: 2
Source: RefSeq, a predicted model, not a curated record